RNAcentral lists this ribosomal RNA (506 nucleotides) under uncultured bacterium. RNAcentral's name for it is "partial 16S ribosomal RNA". It matches the Rfam family "Bacterial small subunit ribosomal RNA", at positions 30 to 523 of the family's 1533-position model. The record is from RNAcentral.
AUUGAACGCUGGCGGCAGGCUUAACACAUGCAAGUCGAGCGGUAACAGAGAGAAGCUUGCUUCUCUGCUGACGAGCGGCGGACGGGUGAGUAAUGCCUAGGAAUCUGCCUAGUAGUGGGGGAUAACUUGCCGAAAGGUAAGCUGAUACCGCAUACGUCCUACGGGAGAAAGGAGGGGACCUUCGGGCCUUUCGCUAUUAGAUGAGCCUAGGUCGGAUUAGUUAGUUGGUGAGGUAAUGGCUCACCAAGACCGCGAUCCGUAACUGGUCUGAGAUGAUGAGCAGUCACACUAGAACUGAGACACGGUCCCGCCUCCUACGGGAGGCAGCAGUGGGGAAUAUUGGACAGUGGGGGGAACCCUGAUCCAGCCAUGCCGCGUGUGUGAAGAAGGUCUUAGGAUUGUAAAGCACUUUAAGUUGAGAGGAAGAGCAGUUAACUAAUAUUUGACUGUUUUGACGUUACCGACAGAAUAAGCACCGGCUAACUUCGUGCCAGCAGCCGCGGUAA